RNAcentral lists this ribosomal RNA (274 nucleotides) under uncultured bacterium. RNAcentral's name for it is "partial 16S ribosomal RNA". It matches the Rfam family "Bacterial small subunit ribosomal RNA", at positions 523 to 796 of the family's 1533-position model. The record is from RNAcentral.
AUACGGAGGGUGCAAGCGAUAUCCGGAAUCAUUGGGUUUAAAGGGUCCGUAGGCGGAUAAUUAAGUCAGGGGUGAAAUCCCACAGCUCAACUGUGGCACUGCCUUUGAUACUGGUUAUCUUGAGUUAUAGGGAAGUAGAUAGAAUAUGUAGUGUAGCGGUGAAAUGCAUAGAUAUUACAUAGAAUACCGAUUGCGAAGGCAGUCUACUAUCUGUAUACUGACGCUAAGGGACGAAAGCGUGGGGAGCGAACAGGAUUAGAAACCCUAGUAGUCC